Molecule: non-coding RNA, 24 nt
Filed under: Rattus norvegicus (Norway rat)
Lineage: Eukaryota; Metazoa; Chordata; Mammalia; Rodentia; Muridae
Source: RNAcentral
GCCCAGAAAUGAGAAUCCUGUCCC